AUAACCUACCUAUAAGACUGGGAUAACUUCGGGAAACCGGAGCUAAUACCGGAUAAUAUAUUGAACCGCAUUGUUCAAUAGUGAAAGACGGUUUUGCUGUCACUUAUAGAUGGAUCCGCGCUGCAUUAGCUAGUUGGUAAGGUAACGGCUUACCAAGGCAACGAUGCGUAGCCGACCUGAGAGGGUGAUCGGCCACACUGGAACUGAGACACGGUCCAGACUCCUACGGGAGGCAGCAGGG
RNAcentral lists this ribosomal RNA (241 nucleotides) under uncultured Staphylococcus sp. Its description in RNAcentral is "partial 16S ribosomal RNA". It matches the Rfam family "Bacterial small subunit ribosomal RNA", at positions 121 to 354 of the family's 1533-position model. The record is from RNAcentral. Lineage: Bacteria; Bacillati; Bacillota; Bacilli; Caryophanales; Staphylococcaceae.